ACUCAAUAGAUACCCGGGUAGUCCUGGCAGUAAACGGUGCGCGUUUGGUGUGGGAGGAUUCGACCCCUUCUGUGCCGGAGCUAAACGCGUUAAACGCGCCGCCUGGGGAGUACGGUCGCAAGAUUAAAACUCAAAGAAAUUGACGGGGGCCCGCACAAGCGGUGGAGUAUGUGGCUUAAUUCGAUGCAACGCGAAGAACCUUACCUAGCCUUGACAUGCAUCUCUAAGUCGGUGAAAGCCGGCGAGUGUAGCAAUACACAAUUUGCACAGGUGCUGCAUGGCUGUCGUCAGCUCGUGUCGUGAGAUGUUGGGUUAAAGUCCCGCAACGAGCGCAACCCCCGUGUGAACUGUUGCCACCGGACCUGGU
This 367-nucleotide ribosomal RNA is filed under the name uncultured bacterium. RNAcentral's name for it is "bacterial SSU rRNA". It matches the Rfam family "Bacterial small subunit ribosomal RNA", at positions 772 to 1131 of the family's 1533-position model. The record is from RNAcentral.